Molecule: ribosomal RNA, 617 nt
Filed under: uncultured archaeon
Lineage: Archaea
Description: partial 16S ribosomal RNA
Source: RNAcentral
CGGCGUGACUCCAAUUGAACCGCAGCUUCACCCCUUGUGGUGCUCCCCCGCCAAUUCCUUAAGUUCAUACUUGCGUACGUACUUCCCAGGCGGCAGACUUAACGGCUUCCCUGCGGCACUGCAUUGGCCACAAGCCAAUGCAUCACCGAGUCUGCAUCGUUUACAGCUGGGACUACCCGGGUAUCUAAUCCGGUUUGCUCCCCCAGCUUUCAUCCCUCACCGUCGAACGUGUUCUGGUACACCGCCUUCGCCACAGGUGGUCUUCAAUAGAUCAAAGGAUUUUACCCCUUCCUAUCGAGUACCGUGUACCUCUCCCACUCCCUAGCUGCACAGUAUUUUCGGCGGCCUAUACGUUAAGCGCAUAGAUUUAACCGAAAACUUAUGCAACCGGCUACGGAUGCUUUAGGCCCAAUAAACCUCCUGACCACUCGAGGUGCUGGUUUUACCGCGGCGGCUGACACCAGAACUUGCCCACCCCUUAUUCACCAGUGAUUCUACAACUGACAAAAGACUCCUUUAGCAGGAGACACUCGGAUUAACCUUGUCGUGCUUUCGCACAUUGCAAAGGUUUCUCGCCUGCUGCGCCCCAUAGGGCCUGNGUCCGUGUCUCAGUACCC